UGAAAGGCCACGAACCAGCUAGAUUCUACCAAAGGCAUGGAAUAUGCAAGGAAGAUCCUGCACCAAUCUUGGAAAGAUCUUGAGUCUGCUACUGCACAGCACCCGUGCACUGAAUCUUAUUGUGGGGAGAAGACAUUUUGAAAACAAUCAGAAAUAAUUUUUAUUUGAGGCUGCUCCUUGAAGUCUAGCCGCGGAGUACGUGGUGACGUUUUCCGAACUUCCAGUCUCAUGUCUCUCAUGGACAAACACAAAGUGAAGCGGCAACGUCUAGAUCGUAUAUUUGAAGAAAAGAGGCGAAGUACUUCCCCAAUGGAAAUAAUUGUUUGUCCAAAUUGGAAGCAAUGCAGUGCGAUAGAAUUGCGGUGUAAAGUUUUGUCUUACAUUUCUGAUAUCACAAGCCCUUCGUAA
RNAcentral lists this long non-coding RNA (408 nucleotides) under Crocodylus porosus (Australian saltwater crocodile). Its description in RNAcentral is "lncRNA (ENSCPRG00005001268.1)". Lineage: Eukaryota; Metazoa; Chordata; Crocodylia; Crocodylidae. The record is from RNAcentral.